CCUACGGGAGGCUGCAGUGGGGAAUAUUGGACAAUGGGCGAAAGCCUGAUCCAGCCAUGCCGCGUGUGUGAAGAAGGCCUUCGGGUUGUAAAGCACUUUCAGUGGGGAAGAAAGCCUUGGGGCUAAUACCCUCGAGGAAGGACAUCACCCACAGAAGAAGCACCGGCUAACUCCGUGCCAGCAGCCGCGGUAAUACGGUGGGUGCGAGCGUUAAUCGGAAUUACUGGGCGUAAAGCGCGCGUAGGCGGUCUGAUAAGCCGGUUGUGAAAGCCCCGGGCUCAACCUGGGAACGGCAUCCGGAACUGUCAGGCUAGAGUGCAGGAGAGGAAGGUAGAAUUCCCGGUGUAGCGGUGAAAUGCGUAGAGAUCGGGAGGAAUACCAGUGGCGAAGGCGGCCUUCUGGACUGACACUGACGCUGAGGUGCGAAAGCGUGGGUAGCAAACAGGAUUAGAUACCCCAGUAUC
RNAcentral lists this ribosomal RNA (464 nucleotides) under Vreelandella stevensii. Its description in RNAcentral is "partial 16S ribosomal RNA". It matches the Rfam family "Bacterial small subunit ribosomal RNA", at positions 338 to 794 of the family's 1533-position model. The record is from RNAcentral. Lineage: Bacteria; Pseudomonadati; Pseudomonadota; Gammaproteobacteria; Oceanospirillales; Halomonadaceae.